Molecule: ribosomal RNA, 497 nt
Filed under: uncultured bacterium
Lineage: Bacteria
Description: partial 16S ribosomal RNA
Rfam family: Bacterial small subunit ribosomal RNA
Source: RNAcentral
GAUGAACGCUGGCGGCGUGCCUAAUACAUGCAAGUCGAGCGAACAGACGAGAAGCUUGCUUUUCUGAUGUUAGCGGCGGACGGGUGAGUAACACGUGGAUAACCUACCUAUAAGACUGGGAUAACUUCGGGAAACCGGAGCUAAUACCGGAUAAUAUUUUGAACCGCAUGGUUCAAAAGUGAAAGACGGUCUUGCUGUCACUUAUAGAUGGAUCCGCGCUGCAUUAGCUAGUUGGUAAGGUAACGGCUUACCAAGGCAACGAUGCAUAGCCGACCUGAGAGGGUGAUCGGCCACACUGGAACUGAGACACGGUCCAGACUCCUACGGGAGGCAGCAGUAGGGAAUCUUCCGCAAUGGGCGAAAGCCUGACGGAGCAACGCCGCGUGAGUGAUGAAGGUCUUCGGAUCGUAAAACUCUGUUAUUAGGGAAGAACAUAUGUGUAAGUAACUAUGCACAUCUUGACGGUACCUAAUCAGAAAGCCACGGCUAACUACGUG